UCCAGGUUUUACUUCUGGUUGCCUGUAAGGGUUUUGCUCCUCCCUUCUGAAAUCCUAUAUUAGCUGUGGCCAAAGCUGGGUAAGAAACACAGCUCAUUGUUGGCAAGUGCCGAUGAGCCUCGCAGAGGAGUGAGGAGCGGCGCUGGGGCUGCGGCAGCGGCAGAGCCCCGCCGUCACGUCAGCCCGGCAGAGGAGGGCAGCGCGCUCUAUGCGGGGUGACUGCUGCUGACUGAUUCCACCGCCACCUUUGAAGGGAAAGAAGAAAGCGGCCGGGAGGUGGGAGAUGGCGGAACACAUGAUGGCCAUGAACCACGGGCGAUUCCCCGACGGCGCCGGCGGGCUCCACCACCACCCCGCGCACCGGCUGGGCAUGGGGCAGUUCGCCGCCCCCCACCACCACCAGCAGCAGCAGCAGCAGCCGCACGCCUUCAGCGCCCUGAUGGGAGACCAUAUACAUUACGGAGCGGGCAAUAUGAACGCGAGCGGCGGGGUCCGGCACGCCAUGGGGCCGGGCGGCGUGGGCGGGGGGCACCCGGCCGGCAGCAUGCCGCCCCCCGCCCGCUUCAGCGGCUCUCAGUUCAUGCCCCCCCCCGUGGGCAGCCCGGGAGGGCAGCUGAGCGCCAGCAUGCAGCUGCAGAAGCUCAACAACCAGUACUUCAGCCACCACCCGUACCCGCACGGCCACUACGUGCCGGACUUGCACACCGGCGGCCACCCGCUGAGCGGCGGCGGACAGCAUUUCAGGGACUGCAACCCCAAGCACGGCGGCGGAGGCAGCGGCUUGCCGCCCGCCGUGCCCCACGUCCCCGCGGCGAUGCUGCCGCCCAAUGUCAUAGACACUGACUUCAUCGACGAGGAGGUCCUCAUGUCCUUAGUCAUCGAAAUGGGGCUGGAUCGCAUCAAGGAGCUGCCCGAGCUGUGGUUGGGACAGAACGAGUUUGACUUCAUGACGGACUUCGUUUGCAAACAGCAGCCCAGCAGGGUGAGCUGCUGAUUCAUUUCCAACAAACAAAGGACUUUCUAGCGGUGCGAGUGAAAACAUUCCCCCCGACGCGGUGUCUCACUUUUCGCUGCCCGAAAAGCAGGUGUUCCUCGUGAAAUCAAUGGGAGCUCCACAUACAGAGCAGCUGCAGGGCCAAGCUCUUAGACUCAGCAGGGGAGAAAUGAUUCCCAAGAGGUGUCCGUGCAAAAUGUCUGCUUGGUCCAGAUGUUUACAACACUUCUAUAGAAGUAAAUUAAACCCAGCGGAGAUCAGUCUUGACAGACCUGGCACUGGGACCUCAUAGGAUUCUUCUCACAGCACUCUGUUCCCACAGCAGGGGAACACUGCCAGACUCAACAAGCUUCUGACUUCUACACCACUGCAUACGUAACACUGUGCUUUUGUGUCUCAAGACCUUUGUGAGAGCUAUGUCUGAACCACAUUAUUCCUAUACGUUAUACUUUCAUUAUAUAUCCUACAUAUAUGCAUGUUACUAUACGUAUGGUUUAUUAUCAUGGUAUAAGUGUGUUAUGCAAAUGUACAGUAGCACAGGGAUAUUAUGGUACAUAAUGGUUUAAACAGAAUGGAUCAAUUUUAUUUUCAGUAUAAUGAGGUGAAACAGUAGAAGACAGGAGACCUGGGGAGGCUCUCUCACUGUCCUGCAGGCCUAACCAGUCUAUAUGGCUUCCAGUGGUUGUCACGGUUCCUGCAGAAAUAAAACUUUCAUUUAGGAGGAAAAUGAAAAACCCUUAAAGGUUUUUAAGAGACUUUAACUAACACAGUACUGUCUGGAGGCAGAGUCCGCAUUUUUUUAAAAGACCUUAAACAUUUAAGAGGGUUACUCUAAACUUGAACUUAGAUCUUUCACCAAAACCUCCCCAUGGCACACAGAAGGAAUACCCCGUCCUCCCAAACAGCUGUUUCAAUGCCAGAGACUUUAGUGUUGAUGGGAGAGGGGAGCAUCAGUGAGUAAGAGCUGAACGUUCCAAGUGAGGAAAAUGGUCUUUGGAAAGAAAAAGAUACAAAUAAAAAGGGGGGAGGGGAAAGAAAACCAGAAGGCUUUAAUAACAAUGGCUUAAUAGUAAAUUAGUCCUUCUACUUGGUGAGGCUGAAUUCACUGAAUGUCACAUAGAAAAAAAUGAGAAAUUUAGGUGAAAAUGUACUCGUUAUUUUCCGCCUGGUAAGCAUAUUUCUUCAGUAGCUUUAUGCUGAUGAUGAUUAUGUUUAAUCCAGAAAUAAGCUACAACAUGAGCAGUUUCCAUGUAAAAUUACCAAAGACAUAGGUGAAAAUGCCACAAUACUGGUUGUGGAUACAUAAUCCAUCUCAUGAAAGACAGUUGAAAUUCAGCCUUACUACAUUAGAUUAUCAAGAAGUGGUCUGUCAUUAAAAUGGGAAACAUACGUUUC
Molecule: RNA transcript, 2389 nt
Organism: Numida meleagris (helmeted guineafowl)
Lineage: Eukaryota; Metazoa; Chordata; Aves; Galliformes; Numididae
Gene: CITED2
Gene name: Cbp/p300 interacting transactivator with Glu/Asp rich carboxy-terminal domain 2
Exons: 4
Source: RefSeq, a predicted model, not a curated record